This 253-nucleotide ribosomal RNA is filed under the name uncultured bacterium. RNAcentral's name for it is "partial 16S ribosomal RNA". It matches the Rfam family "Bacterial small subunit ribosomal RNA", at positions 524 to 776 of the family's 1533-position model. The record is from RNAcentral.
UACGGGGGGGGCAAGCGUUGUUCGGAAUUACUGGGCGUAAAGGGCCAGUAGGCGGCCAACUAAGUCGGAUGUGAAAUCUCUGGGCUUAACCCAGAAAGGUCAGCCGAUACUGCGGGGCUAGAGUGCAGAAGGGGCAACUGGAAUUCUCGGUGUAGCGGUGAAAUGCGUAGAUAUCGAGAGGAACACCUGCGGCGAAGGCGGGUUGCUGGGCUGACACUGACGCUGAGGCGCGAAAGCUAGGGGAGCGAACGGG